AAAGCCCUAGUAAACUCAUUACAUAGCUCUGUCAGCGCUAAAUUACAAGACACCAAGAACUUGUGGGCUUUA
RNAcentral lists this transfer RNA (72 nucleotides) under Zootoca vivipara (common lizard). Its description in RNAcentral is "tRNA-Asp". The record is from RNAcentral. Lineage: Eukaryota; Metazoa; Chordata; Lepidosauria; Squamata; Lacertidae.